This 98-nucleotide ribosomal RNA is filed under the name Cercocebus atys (sooty mangabey). Lineage: Eukaryota; Metazoa; Chordata; Mammalia; Primates; Cercopithecidae. The record is from RNAcentral.
GCCUAUGGCCAUACUUCCCGAUCCUGGAAGCUAUGCAAUGUCGGGCCUGGCUAGUACUUUGAUGAGAGAAUUCCUGGGAAUACCAGGUGCUGUAAGCU